Molecule: ribosomal RNA, 253 nt
Filed under: uncultured bacterium
Lineage: Bacteria
Description: partial 16S ribosomal RNA
Rfam family: Bacterial small subunit ribosomal RNA
Source: RNAcentral
UACGUAGGGAGCAAGCGUUGUCCGGAAUCAUUGGGCGUAAAGCGCGCGUAGGUGGCCUCAUAAGUCCGUUGUGAAAGUCAAAGGCUCAACCUUUGAAAGCCGAUGGAUACUGUGAGACUAGAGUACGGAAGAGGCGAGUGGAAUUCCUGGUGUAGCGGUGGAAUGCGCAGAUAUCAGGAGGAACACCAAUAGCGAAGGCAGCUCGCUGGGACGUUACUGACGCUGAGACGCGAAAGCGUGGGGAGCAAACAGG